RNA transcript from Syzygium oleosum, 2569 nucleotides. RefSeq lists it as uncharacterized. The record is from RefSeq and is a predicted model, not a curated record. The transcript is spliced from 12 exons. Lineage: Eukaryota; Viridiplantae; Streptophyta; Magnoliopsida; Myrtales; Myrtaceae.
AUAAUGACAACAUCCGAGCGCCCCGGUGCUCGCGCCGCUCGUCCGAACCGUUCCUCUCGGCCCAGCAACUCCGCCCUAAGACCCGUCCAAAUCAUGUCUUCAUUGCCUCGUCAGGCUCGCCUCGCCCUCUCCUCAUUGCCCUUCUCCACGCGCACCCCCGUGGCCCGCCUCCAUGGCCUUCCUAUAAAUGCCCCUCCCGCUCUCUUCCCUCUCAGAACUCAAAUUCCCAAUCUCGACGCGUCCAGCGCACGCAAUCGCCUUCGCUGUCGCCGUUUCUUCUCGAGGCACCUCUCCGUCACCUCGAGGCGCAGGAUGGGAUCGCUCUCCGCGCUGGACGAGCCAUUGCAGUAUCCGCUCGCCCGCAGGGACGAGUCGGUCGUUGAUGAUUACUUUGGCAUUAAGAUAUCGGAUCCUUAUCGCGGGCUUGAAGAUCCUGACAGUGAAGAAACAAAGGAGUUCGUGCAAAACCAGGUGAAAUUGAUGGAGACAGUUUUUAAGAUGUGUGGUCUGAGGGAUAAGCUCAAUGAAAAGAUUACGAAGCUAUUUGAUCAUCCUCGUUAUGACGCACCCUUCAGGCGAGGGAACAAAUAUUUUUAUUUCCAUAAUACGGGGCUCCAAGCGCAAAACGUCCUUUACGUGCAGGAUAGUUUAGAUGCAGAAGCAGAAGUUUUGCUCGAUCCUAAUGCUCUUAGUGAAGAUGGAACAGUCUCUUUGAACACUCUUUCAGUCAGCGAGGAUGCCAAAUACUUGGCUUAUGGACUUAGUUCCAGUGGAAGUGAUUGGGUGACGAUUAAUGUUAUGCGGGUCGAGGAUAAGAAAGUUGAGCCUGAUAAAUUAUCAUGGGUUAAGUUUUCAUCUAUCAGUUGGACCCAUGAUGGCAAAGGUUUUUUCUACGGCCGCUAUCCAGCUCCUAAAGAGGGAGAUAUUGAUGCUGGGACUGAGACCAACUCGAACCUUUAUCAAGAAGUAUACUAUCAUUUUGUUGGCACGGAUCAAUCUGAAGAUGUUUUAUGCUGGAGGGAUCCUGAUAAUCCGAAGUACAUUUGUGGAGCCAGUGUCACAGAUGACGGGAAGUAUGUCCUCUUGUAUAUAGAUGAAGGUUGUGAUCCCGUCAACAAAAUUUACUACUGCGACAUGUCCAGCCUGCUGGAUGGGCUUGAAGGUCUGAAGAAGAGAAAUGAACUACUACCUUUUGUUAAACUUGUAGAUAACUUUGAUGCAAAGUAUGAAGCUGUUGCAAAUGAUGAAACUAUAUUUACAUUCCUGACGAACAAAGACGCCCCCAGGUAUAAAUUAGUCAGGGUGGAUCUGAGGGAACCCAAUAUUUGGACUGAUGUCAUACAAGAAGCUGAGAAGGAUGUGCUGGAAUCGGCUUCCGCAGUCAAUCAUAACCAACUGAUAGUGAGUUAUUUGAGUGAUGUGAAAUACGUGGUGCAGAUAAGGGAUUUAAAAACAGGUUCUUUGCUGCAUCAAUUGCCCAUUGACAUUGGGACAGUUUAUGGUAUAUCUGGCCGGCGUGAAGAUAGUACCAUUUUUAUUGGCUUUACCAGUUUUCUUUCGCCUGGUAUCAUAUAUCAGUGUGAUCUACAGAAUGAGGUUCCAGAUAUGAAGAUCUUCUGUGAAAUUGUAGUUUCUGGAUUUGAUCGUUCAGAGUUCCAUGUCAAUCAGGUUUUUGUGUCUAGUAAGGAUGGCACCAAGAUACCAAUGUUCGUAGUAUCCAGAAAGAAUAUUUCUUUGGAUGGAUCACACCCAUGUUUGUUAUAUGGUUAUGGCGGAUUCAACAUUAGCCUCACGCCAUCCUUUAGUGUCAGCCGAACUGUACUCACAAGACACUUGGGAGCUGUUUUCUGCAUAGCAAACAUUCGUGGUGGUGGCGAGUAUGGAGAGGAAUGGCACAAAGCAGGGUCCUUGGCAAAAAAGCAGAACUGCUUUGAUGAUUUUAUCGCUGCUGCUCAGUACCUCAUUUCUGCAGGUUAUACCCAACCCAAAAAGCUGUGCAUUGAAGGGGGAAGCAACGGGGGACUUCUUAUUGGGGCUUGUAUAAAUCAGAGACCCGAUCUUUUCGGCUGUGCUUUGGCUCAUGUUGGUGUUAUGGACAUGCUGCGAUUUCACAAAUUUACUAUUGGGCAUGCGUGGACUUCUGAUUUUGGUUGUGCGGACAAAGAGGAAGAAUUCCAUUGGUUGAUUAAGUACUCACCGCUCCAUAAUGUGAGGAGGCCAUGGGAACAAGGUCCGGAUCAAUCAGUCCAGUACCCACCUACCAUGCUAUUGACUGCUGAUCACGACGAUCGGGUUGUGCCGCUGCAUUCAUUGAAGUUAUUGGCUAAAUUUGAUAAUCGGCUCCUACUCUCUCCUUUCAGACGAUGCAAUACGUCCUAUGCACAAGCCUCGAGAAAAGCCCCCAAACGAACCCCAUAAUCGGUCGAAUCGAGUGCAAAGCCGGACAUGGAGCUGGGCGUCCUACAAAGAAGAUGAUCGACGAAGCUGCCGAUCGCUAUGGUUUCAUGGCGAAGAUGCUGGAUGCUUCCUGGAUUGAGUAGACUCUAAGGGUGCGUUCAUUUCGUGAAAA